GGGGGAUUAGCUCAGCUGGGAGAGCAUCUCCCUUACAAGGAGGGGGUCGGCGGUUCGAUCCCGUCAUCACCCACCA
This 76-nucleotide transfer RNA is filed under the name Escherichia coli. Its description in RNAcentral is "tRNA-Val". It matches the Rfam family "tRNA". From Rfam's summary of the family: Transfer RNA (tRNA) molecules are approximately 80 nucleotides in length. Their secondary structure includes four short double-helical elements and three loops (D, anti-codon, and T loops). Lineage: Bacteria; Pseudomonadati; Pseudomonadota; Gammaproteobacteria; Enterobacterales; Enterobacteriaceae. The record is from RNAcentral.